RNAcentral lists this ribosomal RNA (392 nucleotides) under uncultured bacterium. RNAcentral describes it as "bacterial SSU rRNA". It matches the Rfam family "Bacterial small subunit ribosomal RNA", at positions 30 to 424 of the family's 1533-position model. The record is from RNAcentral.
AUUGAACGCUGGCGGCAUGCUUUACACAUGCAAGUCGAACGGUAACAGGGAGCUUGCUCCGCUGACGAGUGGCGAACGGGUGAGUAAUGCAUCGGAACGUGCCGUGUAGUGGGGGAUAACGUAGCGAAAGUUACGCUAAUACCGCAUACGCCCUGAGGGGGAAAGUGGGGGACCGCAAGGCCUCACGCUAUACGAGCGGCCGAUGUCGGAUUAGCUAGUUGGUAGGGUAAAGGCCUACCAAGGCGACGAUCCGUAGCGGGUCUGAGAGGAUGAUCCGCCACACUGGGACUGAGACACGGCCCAGACUCCUACGGGAGGCAGCAGUGGGGAAUUUUGGACAAUGAGCGCAAGCCUGAUCCAGCCAUGCCGCGUGAGUGAAGAAGGCCUCGGUU